AAAACUACCGGUUCUAGUUCGAUCACCGAAGUCAAGUAUCAUCGGGCGCUGUCAGUACUUGGGAGGGUGACCACCUGGGAACACCGCGUGCCGUU
RNAcentral lists this ribosomal RNA (95 nucleotides) under Caerostris extrusa. The record is from RNAcentral. Lineage: Eukaryota; Metazoa; Arthropoda; Arachnida; Araneae; Araneidae.